Molecule: ribosomal RNA, 478 nt
Filed under: uncultured bacterium
Lineage: Bacteria
Description: bacterial SSU rRNA
Rfam family: Bacterial small subunit ribosomal RNA
Source: RNAcentral
AACGAACGCUGGCGGCAGGCCUAACACAUGCAAGUCGAACGCCGUAGCAAUACGGAGUGGCAGACGGGUGAGUAACACGUGGGAACGUACCUUUCGGUUCGGAAUAACUCAGGGAAACUUGAGCUAAUACCGGAUACGUGCGAGAGCAGAAAGAUUUAUCGCCGAAAGAUCGGCCCGCGUCCGAUUAGCUAGUUGGUGAGGUAAUGGCUCACCAAGGCGACGAUCGGUAGCUGGUCUGAGAGGAUGAUCAGCCACACUGGGACUGAGACACGGCCCAGACUCCUACGGGAGGCAGCAGUGGGGAAUAUUGGACAAUGGGCGAAAGCCUGAUCCAGCCAUGCCGCGUGGGGGAGUGAAGGUCUUCGGAUUGUAAACCCCUUUCGGGAGGGAAGAUGGAGCGAGCAAUCGUUCGGACGGUACCUCCACGAAGCAGCCACGGCCAACUUCGUGCCACGCAGCCGCGGUAAGGUCGUCAUGU